CCCAUGUCGUUUGUUUGUCUGUGAACCUCACAUUGUGCCAUAGGGUGACCAACUGCCUCCUCACUCGCCAGCAUGCGAGGCCAGCAUGACCGGUUUCUUACACAGGCGCAUAUUUUCUGAACUCGGCUGCUACCGAUUUUGAAAUCUGUGAGUCGAGCGAGAGCCAUGGUUCUGGGAUGUUCGCAGGGCCUCCGCCCCGGUACUGGCCUCGCACACAGCCCCAAACGGGAGAGGACAACCAGGAGGGGAGGCUGAUGGACUCCCGGCCGGUAGCAGCCGUUCUUGACAAUGAAGGGAAAAGGCAAGCUGGAGGAACGACGCGGGAGGAAAGUCACUAGCCCCUCGGAAUAUGGUUUCCACACCUUUAUGGCCCCAAUCUGCUUUAAGACGGAAGAACUUCUGAGGUUCUCUGACAACCGCAGCCAGCCCAAGCCACAUAAGUACAACAUUUAAGAGCUCCUUUUGGCCCCUGUUGUAUCAUGGCGCUCACCCUGGAACUGUCAAGACCCUAACAAUACUGAGAAGUUUCUGGCAAUGGGAAAUUCCUGGGAAUGAGAAGUUAAGUGUGGAACAGUGGGAAAAGCAUGACUUAGCUCUGGAGAGCCUUACUUGAAAUCCCACAUGCACAUCCCAGCUGUGUGGUGAUGGGGUGUCACUGACACUCACUGAGCCCGUGUCCCCGUCUCUGAAGGUCACUGGACAGAUACUUAUUUAGCGCGAGCUCUGUGCCCCUCUGAGCUGUUCUAGGUGCCUGGGAUGCAGUGUGGCCUCAUGGAGUGUUCUGUCGUGAUCUCAGGUUCUGACGGAAGGUUUCCUCGAAGAAUUGCUGUGAGAAUCUGAGCCCGUGGCAGGGAGUUUCUAGAACACCAUAGGAAGGCAUAA
RNAcentral lists this long non-coding RNA (882 nucleotides) under Equus caballus (horse). Its description in RNAcentral is "lncRNA (ENSECAG00000046029.1)". Lineage: Eukaryota; Metazoa; Chordata; Mammalia; Perissodactyla; Equidae. The record is from RNAcentral.